AAGAAAUCAACCGAGAUUCCCCCAGUAGCGGCGAGCGAACGGGGAGCAGCCCAGAGCCUGAAUCAGUGUGUGUGUUAGUGGAAGCGUCUGGAAAGGCGCGCGAUACAGGGUGACAGCCCCGUACACAAAAAUGCACAUGCUGUGAGCUCGAUGAGUAGGGCGGGACACGUGGUAUCCUGUCUGAAUAUGGGGGGACCAUCCUCCAAGGCUAAAUACUCCUGACUGACCGAUAGUGAACCAGUACCGUGAGGGAAAGGCGAAAAGAACCCCGGCGAGGGGAGUGAAAAAGAACCUGAAACCGUGUACGUACAAGCAGUGGGAGCACGCUUAGGCGUGUGACUGCGUACCUUUUGUAUAAUGGGUCAGCGACUUAUAUUCUGUAGCAAGGUUAACCGAAUAGGGGAGCCGAAGGGAAACCGAGUCUUAACUGGGCGUUAAGUUGCAGGGUAUAGACCCGAAACCCGGUGAUCUAGCCAUGGGCAGGUUGAAGGUUGGGUAACACUAACUGGAGGACCGAACCGACUAAUGUUGAAAAAUUAGCGGAUGACUUGUGGCUGGGGGUGAAAGGCCAAUCAAACCGGGAGAUAGCUGGUUCUCCCCGAAAGCUAUUUAGGUAGCGCCUCGUGAAUUCAUCUCCGGGGGUAGAGCACUGUUUCGGCAAGGGGGUCAUCCCGACUUACCAACCCGAUGCAAACUGCGAAUACCGGAGAAUGUUAUCACGGGAGACACACGGCGGGUGCUAACGUCCGUCGUGAAGAGGGAAACAACCCAGACCGCCAGCUAAGGUCCCAAAGUCAUGGUUAAGUGGGAAACGAUGUGGGAAGGCCCAGACAGCCAGGAUGUUGGCUUAGAAGCAGCCAUCAUUUAAAGAAAGCGUAAUAGCUCACUGGUCGAGUCGGCCUGCGCGGAAGAUGUAACGGGGCUAAACCAUGCACCGAAGCUGCGGCAGCGACGCUGAUGCGUUGUUGGGUAGGGGAGCGUUCUGUAAGCCUGCGAAGGUGUGCUGUGAGGCAUGCUGGAGGUAUCAGAAGUGCGAAUGCUGACAUAAGUAACGAUAAAGCGGGUGAAAAGCCCGCUCGCCGGAAGACCAAGGGUUCCUGUCCAACGUUAAUCGGGGCAGGGUGAGUCGACCCCUAAGGCGAGGCCGAAAGGCGUAGUCGAUGGGAAACAGGUUAAUAUUCCUGUACUUGGUGUUACUGCGAAGGGGGGACGGAGAAGGCUAUGUUGGCCGGGCGACGGUUGUCCCGGUUUAAGCGUGUAGGCUGGUUUUCCAGGCAAAUCCGGAAAAUCAAGGCUGAGGCGUGAUGACGAGGCACUACGGUGCUGAAGCAACAAAUGCCCUGCUUCCAGGAAAAGCCUCUAAGCAUCAGGUAACAUCAAAUCGUACCCCAAACCGACACAGGUGGUCAGGUAGAGAAUACCAAGGCGCUUGAGAGAACUCGGGUGAAGGAACUAGGCAAAAUGGUGCCGUAACUUCGGGAGAA
This 1484-nucleotide ribosomal RNA is filed under the name Escherichia coli. RNAcentral's name for it is "partial 23S ribosomal RNA". It matches the Rfam family "Bacterial large subunit ribosomal RNA", at positions 219 to 1744 of the family's 2925-position model. The record is from RNAcentral. Lineage: Bacteria; Pseudomonadati; Pseudomonadota; Gammaproteobacteria; Enterobacterales; Enterobacteriaceae.